CACUAAAAAGGAUGCACUGAAGGUACAUUUUGUGUUUAUAUAAAAACGCAGACCGAAAAAAGUUUAGCGCAUGCGUUUAUAUGCGCUAAUGUACCUUCAGUGCAUCUUCUCUAAAGUUGUCCAGUUUACAUAUUACAUAUUACAGUAUAUUUAUUCGUGACAUUGAAAUAAAUGAAAACGAUACUCACUAAGAUUUUGAGCAUGUGUUGAGAUUAACAAGACAAGAUUUCAUACGUUGGCGGCAUAGCCACCCCGGGCCCAAAGUCGAUGUUGACCAGCCUCAUUUUCAAAAUUAUGGGCCACAUUCGUGUGGAGCAAGAGGAAUAAGCUGCAGCAGAAGUGCGAGAGUAAACCAUUUUGCAUACACCUGUUAGGUGUAUGUAGUCUUAACAAUACAGAAAUUAACUU
Molecule: non-coding RNA, 408 nt
Organism: Hydra vulgaris (swiftwater hydra)
Lineage: Eukaryota; Metazoa; Cnidaria; Hydrozoa; Anthoathecata; Hydridae
Source: RefSeq, a predicted model, not a curated record